AUUGAACGCUGGCGGCAGGCCCAACACAUGCCAGUCGAACGGUAACAGGAAGAAGCUUGCUUCUUUGCUGACGAGUGGCGGACGGGUGAGUAAUGUCUGGGAAACUGCCUGAUGGAGGGGGAUAACUACUGGAAACGGUAGCUAAUACCGCAUAACGUCGCAAGACCAAAGAGGGGAACCUUCGGGCCUCUUGCCAUCGGAUGUGCCCAGAUGGGAUUAGCUAGUAGGUGGGGUAACGGCUCACCUAGGCGACGAUCCCUAGCUGGUCUGAGAGGAUGACCAGCCACACUGGAACUGAGACACGGUCCAGACUCCUACGGGAGGCAGCAGUGGGGAAUAUUGCACAAUGGGCGCAAGCCUGAUGCAGCCAUGCCGCGUGUAUGAAGAAGGCCUUCGGGUUGUAAAGUACUUUCAGCGGGGAGGAAGGGAGUAAAGUUAAUACCUUUGCUCAUUGACGUUACCCGCAGAAGAAGCACCGGCUAACUCCGUG
This 490-nucleotide ribosomal RNA is filed under the name uncultured bacterium. RNAcentral's name for it is "partial 16S ribosomal RNA". It matches the Rfam family "Bacterial small subunit ribosomal RNA", at positions 30 to 507 of the family's 1533-position model. The record is from RNAcentral.